Long non-coding RNA from Danaus plexippus (monarch butterfly), 652 nucleotides. RefSeq lists it as uncharacterized. The transcript has 3 exons. Lineage: Eukaryota; Metazoa; Arthropoda; Insecta; Lepidoptera; Nymphalidae. The record is from RefSeq and is a predicted model, not a curated record.
AAAAAUUUUAAAUGAUUAUACCUAAUGCAUAUAUAACGUUUGACAACUUUCUAACAACUAAUUCCUAACCCACGCGAUGCCGCCAUCUUGGAUCUGUCCGUAUUAACUUGUUUACUCAUACUUAUAUCUCAUAGAACUCACCAGAAUAUUCUUGGACGUUGUCGUUAUUUUUGAUUAUAUCAUUAAAUUAUAAGAAAGCGUGACUUUUAUAAAUAUUUAAACGUGCCUCAGUAUUUGAUUGCGAAGCAUGAGUCAUUGUUACGAAAAAUAGCAAAUAUUUGGUUGUAAAAUAACUUAUAAGGGAUUUCCAACAGGAACGAGUUAAAGUAACAAAAAUGGCCGCCCAGUUGUUCGAAACGAAGCUUUGUGUACAACAUACAUGAAACGAACGUUAUAAAUAAACGAAUUAAUUAAAAACUAUUUGUUUACACAACCCAUGCGUUUGUUAACAACAAAACCAUUUAGACUGUGUGAUAUUUUUAUAUUUUGAUGAAAGUAGGUUAUCAUAGAAACCUCUUUACUGAAAUGUGACAGAUGAAUAUAAAAUUUAGCGGGAAAAUAAGCAGAAGCAACGAUCAAGUAAUCAUUAAUUUGCACGUAAUGGCGGAUCCCGCCAGAAGUCACGUGAUCACUGUGACGUCACAGUACAACA